RNAcentral lists this ribosomal RNA (1229 nucleotides) under Triticum aestivum (bread wheat). Its description in RNAcentral is "partial small subunit ribosomal RNA". The record is from RNAcentral. Lineage: Eukaryota; Viridiplantae; Streptophyta; Magnoliopsida; Poales; Poaceae.
CGAUCCGCCCGGCCCGAUCCCCAAAUCCCUCCGCAUCUCAUGGCGGCGAGCCUGUGGCGAGCGGUGAUGGGCACCGGCGCCCCGCCCGCGGACGCCACGGACGGCGUCGAGUUCUGGCGCGAGCCGGAGCGCGGCGGGUGGCUGGACAAGCAGGGCGAGUACAUCAAGACGUGGCGGCGGCGGUGGUUCGUGCUCAAGCAGGGGAAGCUCUUCUGGUUCAAGGACUCGACCGUCACGCGCGCCUCCGUGCCCCGCGGCGUCAUCGCCGUCGCCUCCUGCCUCACCGUCAAGGGCGCCGAGGACGUGCUCAACCGCAAGUUCGCCUUCGAGCUCUCCACCCCGGGCGAGACCAUGUACUUCGUCGCCGACUCCGACAAGGAGAAGGAGGACUGGAUCAACUCCAUCGGCCGCUCCAUUGUCCAGCACUCCCGGUCCAUGACCGACGACGAGAUCGUCGACUACGACAGCGGCCGCCCCGCGGCCGGCGGCAAAUCAUAGAUUCGUCGAUUGAUUCGGGUCCCCAUCUCAUCAUUGGAAAUGGCUAGGCUCAAGAGCUGAAUGCUAACAUCAUUCCUAACAUUAUUGUGCCGUCAUGUGGUAGAUACAUGUGGUUAGUAUUGUACUUAUGUUCCUGCAAAAAAAAAAUAUUGCACUUACGGAGAUAAUAGUUUCGCAGUACACCCUGAUAAGAUAACUCUGUCUUGCGCAGGCGAGUUGGGUAGAUGUGAUUUUUCUGUUUCUCUAAUUAAUUAUUUUAUUUCCUGACUUACGAAUGUUAUAUGCGUAUCUCUGAUUUGAGGAUACUUGCUUUGCAUGCCCAGCAAGAUAAUGUUCUGUAGACGCAUUUAUCUGUUAAAUGUACCAAAGUAUUGAAGUGGGAUAAAGUUCACAUAUUUUUAUAUGCCAACUUGGCAACUUAUAUGUUUGGAGCUUGGAGACGACACUCCGCGUCUAUUUUGAAACAGGUAUAUGAAUGUAAGUUCGGUUGGGAAUGCAGACUCCUGGUUGAGAUUGGGCAGCUAGGUUCUGGUGCAUGACCUAUGAAAUAUGAUGCUUAUACCAGUUUAACUUGUUAAGGGUACAUUUUUGUAUCCCACAGGGAUCUUUGCAGCUCCACUGGUCCCGGAAGGAAGACCUGUCCCGAACUUUGUACUGUUCCAGCUUGCAACCGAAAUCCUGACUUAUUUCGUUCAGAUUUUUACCUUCACUUGUAACUUUGUCAGACCGAA